GCACCUUUUGUGCUUAGAUAUUGAAUUAAUAAAAAUAAAGAGCAUAAUUUCUUUUUCUAUAGAAUAAAGAGGAAAUACUUCAUGCACCCUGUUUACAAUACAGUCCACCAAAAUAAUAAUAAAAAUUGACUUCCUAAUAAUUCCUUCUACUAACAUAUAAUUAUAAAUAAAAAUUCAAAAAUUUUGAAAUAAAACCCCCUUGCGCCUAAUUACAAAAAUUCUUCAAUUUCGCUGCAAAAUUUCUUGAUUUGAGAUUACCGGUAAUACAAAUCAAUCUUUAGAACCACGUUCAGUCAGACCUUCAAGAUUUUAUUUAUUUGCAAUGACCCAAUUCUUCAUUUGUGUCCAGUAGUUAAAAUAUGUUACAAAAAUGUUUCAGGGAAAAAAGGAAAAAGCCUUAUACAGAUUAAAAAGUUUGCCAACAAAACCGCUCCUAUCUUUCUCCCUCUGAAAACCCAUAACGGUGGAACAAGUAGAUACCUUGACUUCAAAAAAUAUUCACAGCAAACUAUUUGAACAAAUUCAAUCCUCUGCGAGAUCAACAUGCAAUAAUUGUUUUCCAUCAAACUGAAGCUGUUUCUUGUCUUAGCAGCAUAGGCAUGUUAAGCAGUUCAGUCCUUUCUGGAAGUCCCAAAGCACAAUAAAGACAUCCAUCCAUCUACCAUUGAUUAGGGAAAGCUUCUCUGUAAUUUGCAUCCUCACCAAGUGUCACCAGCCUUAUUGUAGCAUCCCUUGCCCGGGUAUUCAAAAGUCUCUGUGCUAACCUAUCUUUUGUGGAUUCUUUCUUGUGCAGCAUUGAUGCAAGGCUUUUCUUUUUGUUUCUAGCCAACCUCCCCCCAGUGGUUGCCUUCACAUCCUCCCCAGCAAAUACAGAAUUAGAGGUCGAUGCCAAUGCAGCAUCUCUCAGAACCGCUUCAUUAUGUUCACGAAUCUUAGCAAGCUUUGCACGCUUCUGUGAUUGCUUAUCCAAUUUUCUUUUAUUAGCUUCCUCAUUCUCUCUAUUCCGAACAUUCUUUACAGCUUGUUUUGCUAAUUGCUCUAUUAAAUCAGAAUCAAGAGUUGUAUCACUUGUUGAAGUGCUCUUAUUGAUAGGAUUUCCUUCAUCGUCUCGGGGUAUGACGGGUCCAUGGAAAGGGCAAACUCUCAAAUCUCUUCUCUGACAAAGUCCACCUUUGUGUAAUGGAGCAUGGCAUGGUUGUAUUUCUACUUGCUCUUCUUCAUAAAUAGUUGCACGAAUGUUUAGCUCUGCAAUUUUUUCUGCUGGAAUAACUGCAUUGUAGUCUACCCUACCCCAGUGACUUUCAAGCUCUAAGCCCCUCUGGUUGGCAAGAACAACCCGAUUUGAAUCCCAAUUAUUCAAGAAAUUGCCCCACUUUACAACUGGGGCUUCAGCUAAAAGCUUACUUCGAAGUGAGCUUGAAUCAGUUCCUUUGCAACUCUGUGACUGAUCACAUUUUGCCUUCCCUUUACUGCUUUCAGGAGAAUCAUUUUUCGUCUGCCCAGAAGUUGAAGCCACAGCAAAGUUUUCAUUUAGCUUAUUGAGUGCAUUAGAGCUCUCAAGUUUAAUUGAUUCAAUUUUACCCUCCUCCCAAAAAUCUUCUUCCUCAUCCUUUUCACGCUUUGUAGUAUCUGGAAGAGCAUAACCUGAUUCUACACAUUUCUUCUUGACAGAUUGGAGACGAUUUUGGAUAUCAAUGAAUUCCUUCAGCACUGAAUCUCUAGAUCUAUUAUCUGGUACUUCGACCCUUAUAAGAACAGAGAUCCAUUCUUGGACUGAAACCAGAUGCUUUGUUACUAGAAGCUUGUACAGCUCCCUCAAUGCAUCAAAAACCACUUUGUUCUCACUGUUCUCAUGAAUCUUUUCUCCUUCUCUCAAUGAAUCAAGACGGAUCUGGCGUAAUUCUGAAGGGCGGAACUCUACAAAAUCUUCAUCAUCUAAAGGACCAGGUGGCAUAGUUUCCUGUUCAGUACGAACAAUUUCUAAACACUCCCCAAUCUCAUCUAACGUUGACUGUAUCUCUUCCUUUAUUGAAGAUAAAUUUCCCUUCAAUAUUUCAAACUUGCUCUGUAGAAUCUCUUUUGAUCUCAUCUCUCUUUCCCUUCUUUCCUGCGCAGCAUUAGCCUGGAUAUUAGGAAAUUGGAACCGAAGCGUGUUUUUAAGAUAGUCAAAACCUAAUCGAAUCUGCCUGUAAUGAAUCCCAAAUGAAUCAUUCCACUUCUCCAAAAAUUCAAUUGCCUUUGAACGCAAAACAGAUGCAACAGCUGGUGGAGCAGGAAGCGGCAGAUUCCUUCUGAACCCAACACUUAAACUCAAUAGCUGAUCCAAGUUUUCAACAAGAAGGGUCCUAAAAAGCUUUGAUCGCAUGAAAAGUUGAUCAAUUAUGAGAAGUGUGAGAUACCUGACCUGAGAGUGGUCGCAUUUCAUGAGAUCCAUUAGGGUUUGUGCCGCCAGUCGGAGCUCCGAAUCAGAAUACCGGACCACCGAUUUGAUGGCCUUGAGGAGGCGGGGUUCCACCUCUGCCUCCGUCGAAUUUGUGGCCUUCUCUAUCAACGCCCUGACCUUCCCUUGCCCUAAACCUCCUACAGUUUCCAUUGAAUCACGCAAGAACAGGACAAAUAAAAUCAGGAAAAUUCAAAAAG
RNAcentral lists this unclassified non-coding RNA (2640 nucleotides) under Hevea brasiliensis (rubber tree). The record is from RNAcentral. Lineage: Eukaryota; Viridiplantae; Streptophyta; Magnoliopsida; Malpighiales; Euphorbiaceae.